AGAACAGAACCUGUUCUUGGUUUUAUGGGUGUGAGUUUGUGCUUGAUUUUUGGAAUAAGGAUAUGGGGAAGAACAAAAGUUCUUUGGUAUUGGUAUUGUUUCUGAUAUGGAUAUAUUUUCUGGGUAUUGGUCAAGAUGAAGAAACAAGGUUCUUCUGUUGAAGGUAUUGGAAUGGCUAAGAGUUUCUGGUGCUUGGUUAAGAUGAAGAACAGAGCUCUUCUCUUGGCAAUUCUGGCAGCGGAAUAUGGGUAUGGGUAAUUUAGAUUUCUAGAUAUGGGUAUCGGUCUCAAGAGCAAACUGCUCUGAUACCAUGUCAAAUCUGGUAAUGUAUUUCUGUAUUCAAGCACUCAUACAACUGAAUUACAAUCAUGCUCUUAUAGAGCUCAUACCAUGA
Rosa rugosa (rugosa rose) is the source of this 394-nucleotide long non-coding RNA. RefSeq lists it as uncharacterized. The transcript has 2 exons. NCBI's taxonomy places the organism in Eukaryota, Viridiplantae, Streptophyta, Magnoliopsida, Rosales, Rosaceae. The record is from RefSeq and is a predicted model, not a curated record.